RNAcentral lists this ribosomal RNA (253 nucleotides) under uncultured bacterium. RNAcentral's name for it is "partial 16S ribosomal RNA". It matches the Rfam family "Bacterial small subunit ribosomal RNA", at positions 524 to 776 of the family's 1533-position model. The record is from RNAcentral.
UACGAAGGGGGCUAGCGUUGCUCGGAAUUACUGGGCGUAAAGGGCGCGUAGGCGGCUAGUUUAGUCAGAGGUGAAAGCCCAGGGCUCAACCCUGGAAUUGCCUUUGAUACUGGCUAUCUUGAGUUCGGGAGAGGUGAGUGGAACUCCGAGUGUAGAGGUGAAAUUCGUAGAUAUUCGGAAGAACACCAGUGGCGAAGGCGACUCACUGGCCCGAUACUGACGCUGGGGCGCGAAAGCGUGGGGAGCAAACAGG